This 329-nucleotide unclassified non-coding RNA is filed under the name soil metagenome. RNAcentral's name for it is "partial contains 5.8S ribosomal RNA, internal transcribed spacer 2, and large subunit ribosomal RNA". The stretch from base 1 to 120 matches the Rfam family "5.8S ribosomal RNA", at positions 35 to 154 of the family's 154-position model. The record is from RNAcentral.
GAUGAAGAACGUAGCGAAAUGCGAUAAGUAGUGUGAAUUGCAGAAUUCAGUGAAUCAUCGAAUCUUUGAACGCACAUUGCGCCCCUUGGUAUCCCGAGGGGCAUGCCUGUUCGAACGUCAUUUCACCACUCAAGCCUGGCUUGGUGUUGGGCGACGUCCCCUUUGGGGACGCGCCUCGAAACGCUCGGCGGCGUGGCACCGGCUUUAAGCGUAGCAGAAUCUUUCGCUUUGGAAGUCGGGGCCCCGUCUGCCGGAAGACCUACUCGCAAGGUUGACCUCGGAUCAGGCAGGGAUACCCGCUGAACUUAAGCAUAUCAAUAAGCGGAGGA